This 253-nucleotide ribosomal RNA is filed under the name uncultured bacterium. Its description in RNAcentral is "partial 16S ribosomal RNA". It matches the Rfam family "Bacterial small subunit ribosomal RNA", at positions 524 to 776 of the family's 1533-position model. The record is from RNAcentral.
UACGGAGGGGGCUAGCGUUGUUCGGAUUUACUGGGCGUAAAGCGCGCGUAGGCGGACCUGCAAGUCGGGGGUGAAAGCCCGAGGCUCAACCUCGGAACUGCCUUCGAUACUGCGGGUCUCGAGUCCGGGAGAGGUGAGUGGAAUUCCUAGUGUAGAGGUGAAAUUCGUAGAUAUUAGGAAGAACACCAGUGGCGAAGGCGGCUCACUGGCCCGGUACUGACGCUGAGGCGCGAAAGCGUGGGGAGCAAACAGG